UACGUAGGGGGCAAGCGUUGUCCGGAUUUAUUGGGCGUAAAGAGCGUGUAGGCGGCCAAGCAGGUCAGCUGUGAAAACUCGAGGCUCAACCUCGAGACGUCGGUUGAAACCGCUUGGCUAGAGUCCGGAAGAGGAGAGUGGAAUUCCCGGUGUAGCGGUGAAAUGCGCAGAUAUCGGGAAGAACACCCGUGGCGAAGGCGGCUCUCUGGGACGGUACUGACACUGAGACGCGAAAGCGUGGGGAGCGAACAGG
This 253-nucleotide ribosomal RNA is filed under the name uncultured bacterium. RNAcentral describes it as "partial 16S ribosomal RNA". It matches the Rfam family "Bacterial small subunit ribosomal RNA", at positions 524 to 776 of the family's 1533-position model. The record is from RNAcentral.